This 975-nucleotide ribosomal RNA is filed under the name Aterigena aculeata. RNAcentral describes it as "SSU rRNA". It matches the Rfam family "Eukaryotic small subunit ribosomal RNA", at positions 1 to 965 of the family's 1831-position model. The record is from RNAcentral. Lineage: Eukaryota; Metazoa; Arthropoda; Arachnida; Araneae; Agelenidae.
UUUCCUCUCGGGGGUUUUAUGCAGUAGUCAUAUGGGCUUGUUUUCAAAGAUUAAGCCAUGCAUGUCUAAGUACAUGCCGUAUUAAGGCGAAACCGCGAAUGGCUCAUUAAAUCAGUCAUGGUUCCUUGGAUCGUACCUUACUACUUGGAUAACUGUGGCAAUUCUAGAGCUAAUACAUGCAGCAGAGCUCCGACCUUCGGGGACGAGCGCUUUUAUUAGACCAAAACCCAAUCGGACCUCGUGUCCGUCUCUUGUGGUGACUCUGUAUAACUUUGGGCUGAUCGCACGGGCCUGUCCCGGCGACGUAUCUUUCAAGUGUCUGCCUUAUCAACUUUCGAUGGUAGGUUACGCGCCUACCAUGGUCGUAACGGGUAACGGGGAAUCAGGGUUCGAUUCCGGAGAGGGAGCCUGAGAAACGGCUACCACAUCCAAGGAAGGCAGCAGGCGCGCAAAUUACCCACUCCCAGAACGGGGAGGUAGUGACGAAAAAUAACAAUACGGGACUCUUUUGAGACCCCGUAAUUGGAAUGAGUACACUCUAAAUCCUUUAACGAGGAUCCAUUGGAGGGUAAGUCUGGUGCCAGCAACCGCGGUAAUUCCAGCUCCAAUAGCGUAUAUUAAAGUUGUUGCGGUUAAAAAGCUCGUAGUUGGAUCUCAGUUCCAGACGGGUGGUCCUCCUACCGGUGGCUACUGCCUGUUCUGAACAGUCAGCCGGUUUCUCUUGAUGAUCUUCACCGGUUGUCUUGGGUGACCGGCAAGUUUACUUUGAAAAAAUUAGAGUGCUCAAAGCAGGCGUGACGCCUGAAUAAUGGUGCAUGGAAUAAUGGAAUAGGACCUCGGUUCUAUUUUGUUGGUUUUCGGAACACGAGGUAAUGAUUAAGAGGGACAGACGGGGGCAUUCGUAUUGCGACGCUAGAGGUGAAAUUCUUGGACCGUCGCAAGACGAACUACUGCGAAGAUUUUUGCCGAAAGGAA